Molecule: ribosomal RNA, 490 nt
Filed under: Fusarium oxysporum
Lineage: Eukaryota; Fungi; Ascomycota; Sordariomycetes; Hypocreales; Nectriaceae
Description: eukaryotic LSU rRNA
Rfam family: 5.8S ribosomal RNA (bases 123-276)
Source: RNAcentral
GUGACAUACCACUUGUUGCCUCGGCGGAUCAGCCCGCUCCCGGUAAAACGGGACGGCCCGCCAGAGGACCCCUAAACUCUGUUUCUAUAUGUAACUUCUGAGUAAAACCAUAAAUAAAUCAAAACUUUCAACAACGGAUCUCUUGGUUCUGGCAUCGAUGAAGAACGCAGCAAAAUGCGAUAAGUAAUGUGAAUUGCAGAAUUCAGUGAAUCAUCGAAUCUUUGAACGCACAUUGCGCCCGCCAGUAUUCUGGCGGGCAUGCCUGUUCGAGCGUCAUUUCAACCCUCAAGCACAGCUUGGUGUUGGGACUCGCGUUAAUUCGCGUUCCUCAAAUUGAUUGGCGGUCACGUCGAGCUUCCAUAGCGUAGUAGUAAAACCCUCGUUACUGGUAAUCGUCGCGGCCACGCCGUUAAACCCCAACUUCUGAAUGUUGACCUCGGAUCAGGUAGGAAUACCCGCUGAACUUAAGCAUAUCAAUAAGCGGAGGAAA